Molecule: unclassified non-coding RNA, 104 nt
Filed under: Mucilaginibacter sp. OK283
Lineage: Bacteria; Pseudomonadati; Bacteroidota; Sphingobacteriia; Sphingobacteriales; Sphingobacteriaceae
Description: Flavo-1 RNA
Source: RNAcentral
AUUUACCCGCAGCUCGCGUUAAGGAUUGCAGUGAAAAGCCCGCAGCGCGCAGGCCCCGGCUGCAAAGGCAUGGCGAGGACUUGUAACGUAAAGCCUGACCGCCG